Molecule: long non-coding RNA, 987 nt
Organism: Arachis ipaensis
Lineage: Eukaryota; Viridiplantae; Streptophyta; Magnoliopsida; Fabales; Fabaceae
Source: RefSeq, a predicted model, not a curated record
ACACAUAAAUGAAGUCAAAUGAACUCUUCCUUCAACUGAUUAAACCCUUCUUCGAGAAUACACAGAAGUGAGUUUGAUGAGCAGUGGCACGAUCUCCGAUGGCGAACGAACUGCUAAUUUUGUUUCUAGGAACAAUACUGUUCCUGUGUGUGGAAUCAAAGUACAUAGCGUAUAACACCUCGCAGGGCGUGGUGCCUGGGAAGCUCAACGUUCAUCUCGUUGCUCAUACACACGACGAUGUUGGUUAGUUGAAUACCGUUGAUCAGUACUAUGUUGGUUCUAACAAUUCAAUUCAGGUACUUCUAUUUUUUUUUAUUUUUUUUUUCCAGUGAACUUUUGAAGAAUGUGUCUGUUGAUUGAAACUGAUUUCGCAACAAAAGGAAAGGGAAAAAGAGAUCGAAUGAUUGAUUCACCAUUGCGAGCGUUAAGGAAAAAAAGUUUAUUUCAAUUCCGAAGCGAAACCUAGCGUCUCCUGAUAACACUCUAUCCCUUUAAUCCAUUCUUUUGAACUGGUACCUUAGCUAGUUGAGCGAUUUCUACAAGCUGAACAAUUUGAGAAAGUGAAGUAUCUGAUCCAACAUGUGUAGCUUUAAUCAGGGGCUUGUGUGCAAAAUGUGUUGGAUUCUGUUGUUCAAGCUCUUUUGGCUGAUAAGAAUCGAAAGUUUAUCUACGUUGAGCAAGCCUUUUUCCAGAGAUGGUGGAGAGAUCAGAAUGAGGCUGCUCAGGAUAGUGUAAAGAAACUCAUUAGUUCGGGUCAACCAGAAUUCAUGUAAAUUCCAUUUCUGAUGCAAAAUUUCGUUAGUUGAGGAAGUGUGACUCGCAUUGAAAACUGAAAUAUACACCUCUCGUCAUUUGUACGGUUGUCUCAUAUUGGAAUCCCCUAUGGGGAGUGUCCGCAAAAGCAUUUCUGUUCUAUCAAAUGGUUUAAACUUUAAAGUACAAAAUACGGUGAAAAUUAUAAAAGUGCAUUCUUUUUCUUGAGUGAUA